This 431-nucleotide ribosomal RNA is filed under the name Gymnosporangium asiaticum. Its description in RNAcentral is "eukaryotic LSU rRNA". The stretch from base 1 to 120 matches the Rfam family "5.8S ribosomal RNA", at positions 35 to 154 of the family's 154-position model. The record is from RNAcentral. Lineage: Eukaryota; Fungi; Basidiomycota; Pucciniomycetes; Pucciniales; Gymnosporangiaceae.
GAUGAAGAACACAGUGAAAUGUGAUAAGUAAUGUGAAUCGCAGAAUUCAGUGAAUCAUCAAAUUUUUGAACGCACCUUGCACCUUUUGGUAUUACAAAAGGCACACCUGUUUGAGUGUCAUGAAAACUCCUCAUCAUUCAAUUUUUUCAUUAAAAUUUUAUGGUGGAUGUUGAGUGUUGCUGUUUUAAAGACAGCUCUCUUUAAAUAUAUAAGCCUGUCGUAUCAUGUGAUUUGGAUUGACUUGAUGUGAUAAAUAUCAAUUUCAUCAAGAAGUGUGUGUCAUGCACAGCCAAUCAUAUUUUGUUAAGUAAGCUACUAAGACAUGCUCCUUUCAAGACAAUAUUAAUUUUAAGACCUCAAAUCAGGUGGGAUUACCCGCUGAACUUAAGCAUAUCAAUAAGCGGAGGAAAAGAAACUAACAAGGAUUCCCC